UCCCGCAGAGUUGAUUUCAUCACGUACUAAUCUUUCGCCUUUUACUAAAGAUUACCGUGGGAUUGACUCAAACGAAUGCGGCUUCACUAAAUUUCUUGAUUCCCCCCUUGCGGGGGAAA
This 119-nucleotide small nuclear RNA is filed under the name Phytopythium vexans DAOM BR484. Its description in RNAcentral is "Pythium vexans DAOM BR484 snRNA EPrPVex00000013084". It matches the Rfam family "U5 spliceosomal RNA". From Rfam's summary of the family: U5 RNA is a component of both types of known spliceosome. The precise function of this molecule is unknown, though it is known that the 5' loop is required for splice site selection and p220 binding, and that both the 3' stem-loop and the Sm site are important for Sm protein binding and cap methylation. The record is from RNAcentral. Lineage: Eukaryota; Oomycota; Peronosporomycetes; Pythiales; Pythiaceae.